CGGGAUGUAGCGCAGACCGGUUAGCGCGCUCGGUUCGGGACCGAGAAGUCGGAGGUUCAAAUCCUCUCAUCCCGACCA
This 78-nucleotide transfer RNA is filed under the name Cloacimonas acidaminivorans (SeqCode). RNAcentral's name for it is "tRNA-Pro". It matches the Rfam family "tRNA". Rfam says of the family: Transfer RNA (tRNA) molecules are approximately 80 nucleotides in length. Their secondary structure includes four short double-helical elements and three loops (D, anti-codon, and T loops). The record is from RNAcentral. RNAcentral also lists the same sequence under 4 other names. Lineage: Bacteria; Pseudomonadati; Candidatus Cloacimonadota; Cloacimonadia (SeqCode); Cloacimonadales (SeqCode); Cloacimonadaceae (SeqCode).